This 602-nucleotide long non-coding RNA is filed under the name Brassica napus (rape). Its description in RNAcentral is "long non-coding RNA (BNAP_LNC021224)". Lineage: Eukaryota; Viridiplantae; Streptophyta; Magnoliopsida; Brassicales; Brassicaceae. The record is from RNAcentral.
UUAAACUAUAGUCUUUUGUAUUCAUUAUAGAAAAAUCAAACCUUUACAUGUAACGACUUGUGCAAACAAAAAGCCAUAACUACGCCUCUGAUUAGUGAUUACAUUGCACAUGAAUCAAACAAUUGUUUUUUUCCUUUUGAGAAGAAAAACUACACAAACCUUCACAUAAGUUGCGAAGGAAAAAAAGAAAAAACGAAAAAUAAGAACGUUAAUUAGUGUCCACGGCCUCUCUUGCUCGGUCCAGACGCUAAUCGGAAAGCCAAGCUCCUCAUCAAAGGAAUCCUCGAGCUGUUCGCAGCACCAGCCGCUGUGAAAAAGCUAAAACCACCUCCGUCUACGGCGGCCAUUUGAUCAUAGCCGUUCAUCUGCUCUGUUUUCAGAUCUCUGCAAUCAACUCCAGAAAUAAUCAAAGACAUAUGCACCAAUAAGAUGGUGAAUAACACGAUCCGAAGCUUUUUCUCCAUAUCGAUCUUUAACUUCACUUCAAUUUAUUGCUUCUCUCUCUAAGUCGUAGUCUCUCUCUCUCUUUGAGAAUUUUGGCUUUGUAAAAUGAGUUGUUGAGUUAUGAGAUGAAGGGCAUGUGUGUAUGUAUAUAUAGGUGU